ACCCUAAUGAGACCCCUGUAUUAGAGAGAAGAAGAGUAAUUUUCUCAUAGACUUCUAUGGGAGCAGAGGAGUCGCCCCCUGCUGGUCACUACAGAGAAGUAGAGUCAUUUCCUCAUAGACGUCUAUGGGAGCAGAGGAGUCGCCCCCUGCUGGUCACUACAGAGAAGUAGAGUCAUUUCCUCAUAGACGUCUAUGGGAGCAGAGGAGUCGCCCCCUGCUGGUCACUGCAGAGAAGUAGAGUCAUUUCCUCAUAGACGUCUAUGGGAGCAGAGGAGUCGCCCCCUGAUGGUCACUACAGAGAAGUAGAGUCAUUUCCUCAUAGACGUCUAUGGGAGCAGAGGAGUCGCCCCCUGCUGGUCACUACAGAGAAGUAGAGUCAUUUCCUCAUAGACGUCUAUGGGAGCAGAGGAGUCGCCCCCUGCUGGUCACUACAGAGAAGUAGAGUCAUUUCCUCAUAGACGUCUAUGGGAGCAGAGGAGUCGCCCCCUGCUGGUCACUACAGAGAAGUAGAGUCAUUUCCUCAUAGACGUCUAUGGGAGCAGAGGAGUCGCCUCCUGCUGGUCACUACAGAGAAGUAGAGUCAUUUCCUCAUAGACGUCUAUGGGAGCAGAGGAGUCGCCCCCUGCUGGUCACUACAGAGAAGUAGAGUCAUUUCCUCAUAGACGUCUAUGGGACAGAGGAGUCGCCCCCUGCUGGUCAGUGCACAGAAUGCAGCAUUAACGUACUUCCUCGUUGCCUCCUGGUCCCAGUUGUGCGCUUGUCAAUGUAAACACACCGUCAUGUAAACAUCCUCUUGUCUCCCGCUGCCUGCGCGGACGGCUUGGCUCAGACUUUUUAUUUAUUUCGCCCCCCCCCCCUCGGAGAUGGAGCGCUGAUUGCCUGUCCCCCGCUGUCCUGCAGCGCGGGAGUGAUCUGCAGGCGUGAGGACAGCAGGCCAUUAUUCAGUCUUUACAUGUGCUGCUUCUUAUCAGGGCUCAGGGUUGACUGAGGCAGCUGCUCUUGUCAACACACGCCGCCCCCCCCCCCCCAGAGUGUCCUUUGAGGGGGGGGGGGGGGGGGGGGUUUGACGGGACCGCUCAACAAACCCCUCCAGGAACAAAAAGAAAAAUACAAAAAAUACAAGUAAACGGUAAGUGUUG
Gasterosteus aculeatus aculeatus (three-spined stickleback) is the source of this 1139-nucleotide long non-coding RNA. The record is from Ensembl. NCBI's taxonomy places the organism in Eukaryota, Metazoa, Chordata, Actinopteri, Perciformes, Gasterosteidae.